UGGAAAUAUGAAAUGAGAGCAGGGCAGCGCUCCCAUUGGUUAGGAUGGAAGAAGUCCUAAUGGACUUUUAACCAUGCUUAAGACUAUCACUUACCUUGUGGCAUCUACUGUAUAU
This 115-nucleotide non-coding RNA is filed under the name Antrostomus carolinensis (chuck-will's-widow). Lineage: Eukaryota; Metazoa; Chordata; Aves; Caprimulgiformes; Caprimulgidae. The record is from RNAcentral.